UGGGGAAUAUUGCACAAUGGGCGCAAGCCUGAUGCAGCCAUGCCGCGUGUGUGAAGAAGGCCUUCGGGUUGUAAAGCACUUUCAGCGGGGAGGAAGGCGUUAAGGUUAAUAACCUUGGCGAUUGACGUUACCCGCAGAAGAAGCACCGGCUAACUCCGUGCCAGCAGCCGCGGUAAUACGGAGGGUGCGAGCGUUAAUCGGAAUUACUGGGCGUAAAGCGCACGCAGGCGGUCUGUCAAGUCGGAUGUGAAAUCCCCGGGCUCAACCUGGGAACUGCAUUCGAAACUGGCAGGCUAGAGUCUUGUAGAGGGGGGUAGAAUUCCAGGUGUAGCGGUGAAAUGCGUAGAGAUCUGGAGGAAUACCGGUGGCGAAGGCGGCCCCCUGGACAAAGACUGACGCUCAGGUGCGAAAGCGUGGGGAGCAAACAGG
This 429-nucleotide ribosomal RNA is filed under the name Chloroflexota bacterium. RNAcentral describes it as "Chloroflexi bacterium partial 16S ribosomal RNA". It matches the Rfam family "Bacterial small subunit ribosomal RNA", at positions 355 to 776 of the family's 1533-position model. The record is from RNAcentral. Lineage: Bacteria; Bacillati; Chloroflexota.